GGCGCGGCCGGGCAGCACCGCCUCCUCUUGCCCCCUCGCGCCCGGCGGGGAGGGCGCUGCAGGGCGGCAGGCAGCCGCGGCGCAUGGAGGAGGAUCUGCCCUGCCGCACGAGGCGACGUGCGCGGCCCCGGCCGGAGGGCAGCGACCGGCGGGCACGGCAGGGCAGGACACGGCACAGCAGGCGAACUACAACCAAGCGUUAGCAGAAAUAUCAAAGCUACCUGAACAAACCUCUCUAUGAAAGCGUUCCUCCCCUGCUGCUGCUGCUCAUGAUAACGAUGUCCAACACAAUAAGGUAACCCUCAACACCUGAAGCACAUUUAAAAGCCAGUUUUCUGUAGAAGGGAAAUCACAGUGAUAACCUAUUGCCUGCAAACAGCUAGGCCUACAUAUAAUAAAGACACACCAGGAGAAUCUGAAACCAAGAACAUUUUCUCAUUAUACAGCAGUAUAGUUCAGAUAGUGAAACUGUUUGGGGGGUUAAUGUGUUUGUAGUGCUAUAAUUGGCUGUAGCAAUAUUUUUUUUAUACAGGAAUUGGUAUGUGUAGUCUAUGUACCUGUAAUACUGCAGUAUUCAUACAAAAAAUAAAUUCCAACACCACCUGUAAACCAAGCUUAAAUCUCCAUUCAUGAGGUCCUUUCUCUUUCAAGAACUCUUCUUUGCCUAAAAUAGUUUGUUUCCUGGGGAGGUGGUAGUGGGGAAGUGUGCCUUAAAAGGAAAGUGUCAAAAAAAUCCCAACCAACCAAACAAGCAAAAAAAGGCAGCUUGCCAUUUUUAACUUAAAUAGCUGGCUGUUUCACAAAAGAUAUUAGGAUAGCAGACAAUAGUGCUGUCACCCCAGCAUGGCUAAAAAACCACUCCAGCACAUAUGCAAGUAAUAUUUUAAUCAGAGCCAAAAAAGCACAUGGCAAAACUCUACACUGAGGAGACAGUUUUUGCUAUAAGUUUUUAGCCUUAAUUCAGAAUAGUACUAAAUUAAUACUGCAGGUAAUCAAAAGAAGAGUUAGCUUACAGUGUCUUAGUUCUUCAGACUAGGCAUGAACAGAAUGGGAGUCAGAAACAAACCACCACCACACACCCCCCUGGCCUGCUACUCAGCCUCAACUGAUAACUCCUGAAUUGAUUGCUGGCAGAGGAGAGCUACAUCCCACCUAAAAGCCCAGGUGGAACAGCUAGAGGAAGGCAGGUGAGGAUGUAUAUAUAGAUCACACUGAAUUUUUGUUCAUACCAGUUCACACUAAAACUUAACUUCCAUGUUUUGUGGUUCUUUUGUUUUGUUUUUAAAUCAAGUAGAGCUGUUUGCUAUCCAAGUUUAUAAACAGUACUUCAGAAGAUACCUUUCAGAGUCUAGAGAGAGUCUGUGUUACAAUGUUCUGCCAAACAGAGUGAAGGGGGCUAGCAAAAAGAAACAAAACCUAGAACCAACUGAACCUGUACAGUCCUCAUGAUUAAGCAGCUCAUUCCCCAACCAGCCAGAAAUGCUUAAGGUUAUUCAACAGCAGGACAGUUAGAGGUUUAAAUAAAUUUAUUCUUCAUAAAGUUUCUAGCUAGGUGGUCUCAUUCAGGAGUAGGAUGGCCCUAGGGAUUGGAGAAAUUGGGACGCAUUAUACUGGGAUGUGAAUUUACAUCCUACUAACUCCCUUUGUUGAUACUGUUAUAUGCAUUAAGUACAAAGCAAAUUACUUUAAUUUCCAAGGACUUUCUAACUGGCAAAUCAAACAAAAUCGAUAUUGCUGGCAGUCCAGAGGAGGAUCUGGCACUGCAAAUCCACACGCUUAUUGGCGGGCUGUCAACCUGACAUAUGGGUAAGCUGCCAGGUAAUCAAUGCAUACAUUGCUUCCAAUACAACAAAAUAAAGCCAAUGGGGAGAAAAAAAAAAUAUAUAUAUACUAUUUUGUCUUCCAGUAGGAAAUCAGAAGAAUUUAGAUCACAUCUUGUUUACUCCAAUUACCCAGAGCAUUCAGGUGUAAAUCGAUGUUGCUUAGGAUCCGAAUUAGCUCUAGAUACACUUCUUAGCUCUCUCUGUAGUCUCUUGAUUGCUGGAUUUGGUUGAGAAUGAUCUGAGAGCAAUCUGGGAAGUAUUACUAACUUUAAAUAAAGUUAUUUUGCUGAAUAGAUUUUUAAAAAUACUUGCAUUGGUAUUUCUCAAUGCUAUAUCAUUGAGUGUACUUUAAAGCGGAAUGCAGUACUGAAAUUUCUGCUGGAACUGUAGUAAUGAAAGCUUUGUAGAGGCCAUGUUUAUAUUUGAACACUAUAAUAUACUAAUUUUUAACAAAUAAUUUGAUCGUUUCCUAAAGACAGCUAGAAGGGCAUUACAUAUAGGACCUUAUUAUUAGCCUAUUAAAAAACAUCAAAACUCAGAAGCCAGCAUGAUAAUGAUCCUACUUCUAUGGUAAUUGCCUCAUUACUGUCAGUCUUGACUAGCUCCCAACCAGUUCAGAAAACUGCUUCAUACUAGAAACUAUAUUGGUGGAUUGAAGUAUUUAUGGCAUUUAUUCUAUCUCACUUUCAACUUUAGUGAAUUUCAUGCGUCUUUGUCCCUGUACUGAAAAUAACUUCUAAGGCACUCAACCUUACACAACAUACCCCAUUUUUACAGAAGUAAUGAAAUUAGUUUAUGGGUACAAGCAUCUAAAUAAGAAGUCUGUAUCACUGGCAGAACAGAAGAGCAACAUAUUCUCACACACCAACUUUUAAGCGUAGAAUCAUAGAACCAAGUGGGUUGGAAAAGUCAUCAAGUCCAACUGCUACCCCAGGACUGCCAAGUCCACCACUAAACCAUGUCACUUAAGGGCCUCAUCUACAUGGUUUUUGAACACUUCCAGGGAUGGUGAUUCCACCACUGCCCUGGUCAGCCUGUUCCAAUGCCUGAGCACCCUUUCAGGGAAGAAAUUUUUCCUAAUAUCCAGUCUCAACCUCCCCUGUUGCAGCUUGAGGCCGUUACCUCGUGUGCUCUCACUUGUUCCUUGGGAAAAGAGAUCAGCCACCUCCUGGCUCCAUCCUCCUUUCUGGUAGUUGCAGAGAGCUCAAGGUCCCCCCUGAGCCUUCUCUUCUCCAGACUAAACAAGCCCAGUUCCCCCAGCCAUUCCUCUUCAGACUUAUAACAACAUUCAGCAUAUAAAAAUUCAUAUAACAUUCACCAUACAACAACAUUCUAUUUCAUAUGCAACAGAAGCUGGAAUUCCAGUAAAUUAAAAUAUAAGUUUGCAUUUCUUUCCAAUCAGCAGUCAAUCUUCCUUAAGGUAAUCUUCUGAAAAGUUGUACUGUGCAGGAAAAGAAAAGAGGGCAAGACAGCAAAUAAUAAAGACUGCUUUACCUAUAUACAACAUUCAAUUGUAAUCGCAUCUUGUAGGAAGUACCCUGCUUUACCAGCUUUAUAAUUUGAAAAUAGAAAAAAAAAAACCAAAAUCCUGCUAGCAGAUACUAAAAUGUGUUAAAGACAAGACAACACAUGCCACUGCCCCUCAGUAUGAGAAAGGAUUGUAGAGUUAAGCCUGUAGACUUGUUUAACCCUUAUAGUGGCACUGCUGUCGUCAGUGUUAUUUGCUUUCUGAUGACUUAACAUUUUUCUUUAAAAUAGGACAACUCUCUCUGAUAGACCUGUAGCUAAGAAUAUUUUACAAAAUAAGUAAUAAUUCCCCCCCUUUAUUCUAAUAAAAGCAUCCAUUGCAUUUUUACAGACAAAUUUUCACUUUGCAAAUCAUACGUACAAUGCCACUGCCAGUCCUAUCUUUUGCAGCAUUUUUCUGUGGAAGUGAAUGAUUGAAGAAUUCACAAACCAGCCGAUUCUGUGUACAAAAAUGUUAUGAAUAAAAAUAUAAAAAGAAUACCAUGAAGAUCAGCAGAAGUUGACUGAGGUCUGUUUCUGUGCUUGAAACGCAAGUGCCUGUUUCCAAAAGUUUUAUUAAAGGAUGUAUUAAAAUCAA
Molecule: long non-coding RNA, 3927 nt
Organism: Strigops habroptila (Kakapo)
Lineage: Eukaryota; Metazoa; Chordata; Aves; Psittaciformes; Psittacidae
Exons: 2
Source: RefSeq, a predicted model, not a curated record